GAGCUGGUGAGAGCGGCGGACGGGUGAGUAAUGUCUGGGAAACUGCCUGAUGGAGGGGGAUAACUACUGGAAACGGUAGCUAAUACCGCAUAACGUCUUCGGACCAAAGAGGGGGACCUUCGGGCCUCUUGCCAUCAGAUGUGCCCAGAUGGGAUUAGCUAGUAGGUGAGGUAAUGGCUCACCUAGGCGACGAUCCCUAGCUGGUCUGAGAGGAUGACCAGCCACACUGGAACUGAGACACGGUCCAGACUCCUACGGGAGGCAGCAGUGGGGAAUAUUGCACAAUGGGCGCAAGCCUGAUGCAGCCAUGCCGCGUGUGUGAAGAAGGCCUUCGGGUUGUAAAGCACUUUCAGCGGGGAGGAAGGCGGUGAGGUUAAUAACCUCAUCGAUUGACGUUACCCGCAGAAGAAGCACCGGCUAACUCCGUGCCAGCAGCCGCGGUAAUACGGAGGGUGCAAGGGUUAAUCGGAAUGACUGGGCGUAAAGCGCACGCAGGCGGUUUGUUAAGUCAGAUGUGAAAUCCCCGAGCUUAACUUGGGAACUGCAUUUGAAACUGGCAAGCUAGAGUCUUGUAGAGGGGGGUAGAAUUCCAGGUGUAGCGGUGAAAUGCGUAGAGAUCUGGAGGAAUACCGGUGGCGAANGCGGCCCCCUGGACAAAGACUGACGCUCAUGUGCAAAAGCGUGGGGAGCAAACAGGACAUAA
RNAcentral lists this ribosomal RNA (703 nucleotides) under Pectobacterium carotovorum subsp. carotovorum. RNAcentral's name for it is "bacterial SSU rRNA". It matches the Rfam family "Bacterial small subunit ribosomal RNA", at positions 83 to 782 of the family's 1533-position model. The record is from RNAcentral. Lineage: Bacteria; Pseudomonadati; Pseudomonadota; Gammaproteobacteria; Enterobacterales; Pectobacteriaceae.